ACGCUCGACACCUACGGUAGGCAGCAGUGGGGAAUAUUGCACAAUGGGGGAAACCCUGAUGCAGCGACGCCGCGUGGAGGAAGAAGGUCUUCGGAUUGUAAACUCCUGUUGUUGGGGAAAAAGAGGAUGGUACCCAACAAGGAAGUGACGGCUAACUACGUGCCAGUAGCCGCGGUAAUCUGAGCGGGCUGGCAAGGC
Molecule: ribosomal RNA, 198 nt
Filed under: uncultured bacterium
Lineage: Bacteria
Description: partial 16S ribosomal RNA
Rfam family: Bacterial small subunit ribosomal RNA
Source: RNAcentral